UCUUUAGACAACAUCUCACAUAACUCAAGACUGAUGGGGAGCUCACUACAUAGCCAAGAAUGACCUGGAACUCUUGGUCUCCUUGAGUGGAAUCUAAGUGAGGUACAUGUGCUCAUGCGAAUGACGGGAAAGGAGGUGGCCCAUUCUAUGGCAUACAGGUGGAGGCCAGAGGACAACUUCGUGGAACCAGUUCUCUCCUUCCACCUCUAACUUGAAUUCCAAGGAUCUGAUUCAGGUUCUUUUUUUCGGAGCUGGGGACCGAACCCAGGGCCUUGCGCUUUGUUUACCUUUCUGUUUAAGGAGCUUUCCUGCAGCACAGAAUAUUUCAAUCUCAAAAGAAACUGUUAUACCCUACUGAUCAAGAGAAUGUAAUAUAAUACCUGGUAGUGACUGAAAAUGCCCUGGGCUUGUGUCCCCAACUUCCUUUAAGGGCAGGAGGAAAGACUCUUCCCAAAGGCAAAGUGAACUGCCAAGAAUGGAGAAUAAACUUUGUAUCUAAGAAUAAACUUCUACCCACAGCGCAUGGGCCCAUCUGUUCACCAAAUUGGCUACACUUAGCUGGCCAAUGUGUUUGUCAUAAGUCUCACUACAAAAAUCCCAGAAUGAAAUGGACAAACUUCCUCAAAAGAUUAAUAACAGGUAACAUGUAAA
Molecule: non-coding RNA, 651 nt
Organism: Rattus norvegicus (Norway rat)
Lineage: Eukaryota; Metazoa; Chordata; Mammalia; Rodentia; Muridae
Source: RefSeq, a predicted model, not a curated record